Molecule: microRNA precursor, 100 nt
Filed under: Lucilia cuprina (Australian sheep blowfly)
Lineage: Eukaryota; Metazoa; Arthropoda; Insecta; Diptera; Calliphoridae
Description: mir-284 microRNA precursor family
Rfam family: mir-284 microRNA precursor family
Source: Rfam by way of RNAcentral
AUUGCAGUACCUGGAAUUAAGUUGACUGUGCAGCCUUUUUAAAGCAUGGCUUCAGCUCAGCAAUAUUAAGUCAGCAACUUGAUUCCAGCAAUUGCGAUUG